CCCCGGCGCCACAAGUGGCAAUCACUUUUAUUGGGCCUAAAGCGUCCGUAGUCGAUAUGACAAAUCUUCUGUUAAAUCCUUGUGCUUAACACAGGGGCUGCAAGAGAGACUAUCAUGUUAGGGAUCGGAAGGAGAUAGAGGUAUUCCUUGGGUAGCGGUAAAAUGCGAUAAUCCUUGGAAGACCACCAAUGGCGAAGGCAUCUAUCUAGGACGAAUCCGACGAUCAGGGACGAAAGCUAGGGGAGCAAAAAGG
This 253-nucleotide ribosomal RNA is filed under the name uncultured archaeon. RNAcentral describes it as "partial 16S ribosomal RNA". It matches the Rfam family "Archaeal small subunit ribosomal RNA", at positions 474 to 727 of the family's 1478-position model. The record is from RNAcentral.